UACGAAGGGGGCUAGCGUUGCUCGGAAUUAUUGGGCGUAAAGGGCGCGUAGGCGGCUGUACAAGUCAAAGGUGAAAUCCCUCGGCUCAACUGAGGAACUGCCUUUGAAACUGUACGGCUUGAGGCCGGGAGGGGGUAGCGGAAUUCCCAAUGUAGCGGUGAAAUGCGUAGAUAUUGGGAGGAACACCAGUGGCGAAGGCGGCUACCUGGACCGGUUCUGACGCUGAGGCGCGAAAGCGUGGGUAGCAAACAGG
Molecule: ribosomal RNA, 253 nt
Filed under: uncultured bacterium
Lineage: Bacteria
Description: partial 16S ribosomal RNA
Rfam family: Bacterial small subunit ribosomal RNA
Source: RNAcentral